GAAGUGCGAUAAGCAAUGCGAAUUGCAGAAUUCCGCGAAUCAUCAGAUCUUUGAACGCAAAUGGCGCCGGAGGGAUAUCCUUCCGGCAUGUCUGUUUCAGUGUCUGAGAGGUUUCACAUAAAUCUUAAUGUGAUUGAUGGGUUGCAUGCAUCUCUGUUGAAUAAACAGACGCAUACAAAUCAUCUCUCAUGAAAGAUGCGUGAGUGGAUCUUUCGGUCCAAUGAAGUGGUCACAUCACUCGUAUGUGAUUUCAUUGGGAAAUCACCGAAUUAUCUGUAUACUCACAGUACCUAUACUACAAACAAAAUCUCCAUACCCUGCAUCUGAGAUAGGCAAGAUCACCCGCUGAACUUAA
RNAcentral lists this unclassified non-coding RNA (355 nucleotides) under uncultured fungus. RNAcentral's name for it is "sequence contains ITS1". The stretch from base 1 to 105 matches the Rfam family "5.8S ribosomal RNA", at positions 50 to 154 of the family's 154-position model. The record is from RNAcentral. Lineage: Eukaryota; Fungi.